This 1500-nucleotide ribosomal RNA is filed under the name Clostridium botulinum. Its description in RNAcentral is "bacterial SSU rRNA". It matches the Rfam family "Bacterial small subunit ribosomal RNA". The record is from RNAcentral. Lineage: Bacteria; Bacillati; Bacillota; Clostridia; Eubacteriales; Clostridiaceae.
AGAGUUUGAUCCUGGCUCAGGACGAACGCUGGCGGCGUGCUUAACACAUGCAAGUCGAGCGAUGAAGCUUCCUUCGGGAAGUGGAUUAGCGGCGGACGGGUGAGUAACACGUGGGUAACCUGCCUCAAAGUGGGGGAUAGCCUUCCGAAAGGAAGAUUAAUACCGCAUAAUAUAAGAGAAUCGCAUGAUUUUUUUAUCAAAGAUUUAUUGCUUUGAGAUGGACCCGCGGCGCAUUAGCUAGUUGGUAAGGUAACGGCUUACCAAGGCAACGAUGCGUAGCCGACCUGAGAGGGUGAUCGGCCACAUUGGAACUGAGACACGGUCCAGACUCCUACGGGAGGCAGCAGUGGGGAAUAUUGCGCAAUGGGGGAAACCCUGACGCAGCAACGCCGCGUGGGUGAUGAAGGUCUUCGGAUUGUAAAGCCCUGUUUUCUAGGACGAUAAUGACGGUACUAGAGGAGGAAGCCACGGCUAACUACGUGCCAGCAGCCGCGGUAAUACGUAGGUGGCGAGCGUUGUCCGGAUUUACUGGGCGUAAAGGGUGCGUAGGCGGAUGUUUAAGUGGGAUGUGAAAUCCCCGGGCUUAACCUGGGGGCUGCAUUCCAAACUGGAUAUCUAGAGUGCAGGAGAGGAAAGCGGAAUUCCUAGUGUAGCGGUGAAAUGCGUAGAGAUUAGGAAGAACACCAGUGGCGAAGGCGGCUUUCUGGACUGUAACUGACGCUGAGGCACGAAAGCGUGGGUAGCAAACAGGAUUAGAUACCCUGGUAGUCCACGCCGUAAACGAUGGAUACUAGGUGUAGGGGGUAUCAACUCCCCCUGUGCCGCAGUUAACACAAUAAGUAUCCCGCCUGGGGAGUACGGUCGCAAGAUUAAAACUCAAAGGAAUUGACGGGGGCCCGCACAAGCAGCGGAGCAUGUGGUUUAAUUCGAAGCAACGCGAAGAACCUUACCUGGACUUGACAUCCCUUGCAUAGCCUAGAGAUAGGUGAAGCCCUUCGGGGCAAGGAGACAGGUGGUGCAUGGUUGUCGUCAGCUCGUGUCGUGAGAUGUUAGGUUAAGUCCUGCAACGAGCGCAACCCUUGUUAUUAGUUGCUACCAUUAAGUUGAGCACUCUAAUGAGACUGCCUGGGUAACCAGGAGGAAGGUGGGGAUGACGUCAAAUCAUCAUGCCCCUUAUGUCCAGGGCUACACACGUGCUACAAUGGUAGGUACAAUAAGACGCAAGACCGUGAGGUGGAGCAAAACUUAUAAAACCUAUCUCAGUUCGGAUUGUAGGCUGCAACUCGCCUACAUGAAGCUGGAGUUGCUAGUAAUCGCGAAUCAGAAUGUCGCGGUGAAUACGUUCCCGGGCCUUGUACACACCGCCCGUCACACCAUGAGAGCUGGUAACACCCGAAGUCCGUGAGGUAACCGUAAGGAACCAGCGGCCGAAGGUGGGAUUAGUGAUUGGGGUGAAGUCGUAACAAGGUAGCCGUAGGAGAACCUGCGGCUGGAUCACCU